This 220-nucleotide non-coding RNA is filed under the name Bacillus sp. (in: firmicutes). Its description in RNAcentral is "Bacillus sp. T-box sequence". It matches the Rfam family "T-box leader". From Rfam's summary of the family: Uncharged tRNA acts as the effector for transcription antitermination of genes in the T-box leader family. Lineage: Bacteria; Bacillati; Bacillota; Bacilli; Caryophanales; Bacillaceae. The record is from RNAcentral.
AUUUCAACGUUGAUAAGGAGCAGUAGUGAUGAAGAUCCGCAUUAGAGAGUUGACGGUCGGUGCAAGUCAACCGGAAAUCAUCAUGAACUCGCCUUUGAGUUGCAGGCGUGAACCAAAGUAGUGCCUGCCGUUUUCCGCGUUAAGGAUGGAAUCAAGUGAGUGCGUGUACACUAAUCUGGGUGGUACCGCGGGAGAUUAUCAAAGACCUCUCGUCCCAAUU